RNAcentral lists this ribosomal RNA (403 nucleotides) under uncultured bacterium. RNAcentral's name for it is "bacterial SSU rRNA". It matches the Rfam family "Bacterial small subunit ribosomal RNA", at positions 355 to 775 of the family's 1533-position model. The record is from RNAcentral.
UUGGGAAUCUUGGACAAUGGGGGAAACCCUGAUCCAGCCAUGCCGCGUGAGUGAUGAAGGCCUUCGGGUUGUAAAACUCUUUCGACGGGGACGAUAAUGACGGUACCCGUAGAAGAAGCUCCGGCUAACUUCGUGCCAGCAGCCGCGGUAAUACGAAGGGGGCUAGCGUUGUUCGGAAUUACUGGGCGUAAAGCGCGCGCAGGCGGCUAUCCAAGUCAGUGGUGAAAGCCCGGAGCUCAACUCCGGAACUGCCAUUGAAACUGUUUAGCUUGAGGACGAGAGAGGUGAGUGGAAUUCCCAGUGUAGAGGUGAAAUUCGUAGAUAUUGGGAAGAACACCGGUGGCGAAGGCGGCUCACUGGCUCGUAUCUGACGCUCAGGCGCGACAGCGUGGGGAUCAAACAG